AAUAAGUGCAGAUUUGCACUAUUCAUGUGCAACGUUUGACCGUUCGUCUUAUUUGAAAAUUUUUUGUGAUUAGUAUUUUUAUUGUUAUUAGAUGAUAAAACAUGAAUAGUACUUUAUGGAUGACUAUUUUUAUUUUAGUUUUUUUAUAAAUUUUUCAAAUAAGAUGAACGGUCAAACGUUGAACACGGAUCCCUACAACUACACUUAUU
Molecule: non-coding RNA, 209 nt
Organism: Oryza nivara
Lineage: Eukaryota; Viridiplantae; Streptophyta; Magnoliopsida; Poales; Poaceae
Source: Rfam